AGCGAACGCUGGCGGCAGGCCUAACACAUGCAAGUCGAACGGAUCCUUCGGGAUUAGUGGCGGACGGGUGAGUAACACGUGGGAACGUGCCCUUUGGUUCGGAACAACUCAGGGAAACUUGAGCUAAUACCGGAUGUGCCCUUCGGGGGAAAGAUUUAUCGCCAUUGGAGCGGCCCGCGUCUGAUUAGCUAGUUGGUGAGGUAAAGGCUCACCAAGGCGACGAUCAGUAGCUGGUCUGAGAGGAUGAUCAGCCACAUUGGGACUGAGACACGGCCCAAACUCCUACGGGAGGCAGCAGUGGGGAAUCUUGCGCAAUGGGCGAAAGCCUGACGCAGCCAUGCCGCGUGAAUGAUGAAGGUCUUAGGGUUGUAAAAUUCUUUCACCGGGGACGAUAAUGACGGUACCCGGAGAAGAGGCCCCGGCUAACUUCGUGCCAGCCGCCGCAGUAA
Molecule: ribosomal RNA, 449 nt
Filed under: uncultured bacterium
Lineage: Bacteria
Description: partial 16S ribosomal RNA
Rfam family: Bacterial small subunit ribosomal RNA
Source: RNAcentral